GAGAAUUUAUUUUAAUAAAAAUAUAAAUCUGUCAGAUUUAAGAUACUAAUAAGUAUUUCUUU
This 62-nucleotide transfer RNA is filed under the name Platypedia putnami. RNAcentral's name for it is "tRNA-Asp". The record is from RNAcentral. Lineage: Eukaryota; Metazoa; Arthropoda; Insecta; Hemiptera; Cicadidae.